CUGCCCUUAACUCUGGGAUAAGCCUGGGAAACUGGGUCUAAUACCGGAUAUGACCCGUCACCGCAUGGUGGUGGGAGGAAAGAUUUUUUGGUUUUGGAUGGACUCGCGGCCUAUCAGCUUGUUGGUGAGGUAAUGGCUCACCAAGGCGACGACGGGUAGCCGGCCUGAGAGGGUGACCGGCCACACUGGGACUGAGACACGGCCCAGACUCCUACGGGAGGCAGCAGUGGGGAAUAUUGCACAAUGGGCGCAAGCCUGAUGCAGCGACGCCGCGUGAGGGAUGAAGGCCUUCGGGUUGUAAACCUCUUUCAGUAGGGAAGAAGCGAAAGUGACGGUACCUGCAGAAGAAGCGCCGGCUAACUACGUGCCAGCAGCCGCGGUAAUACGUAGGGCGCAAGCGUUAUCCGGAAUUAUUGGGCGUAAAGAGCUCGUAGGCGGUUUGUCGCGUCUGCCGUGAAAGUCCGGGGCUCAACUCCGGAUCU
This 482-nucleotide ribosomal RNA is filed under the name Actinobacteridae bacterium 13-02PB. Its description in RNAcentral is "bacterial SSU rRNA". It matches the Rfam family "Bacterial small subunit ribosomal RNA", at positions 126 to 622 of the family's 1533-position model. The record is from RNAcentral. Lineage: Bacteria; Bacillati; Actinomycetota; Actinomycetes.